CAAUAGCGUAUAUUUAAGUUGCUGCAGUUAAAAAGCUCGUAGUUGGAUUUCGGGUGGGAAUGGCCGGUCCGCCGUUUCGGUGUGCACUUGCUACGUCCACCUUGCUGCCGGGGACGUGCUCUUGAGUUCACGCUCGGGACACGGAGUCGGCGAGGUUACUUUGAGUAAAUUAGAGUGUUCAAAGCAGGCCUACGCUCUGAAUACAUUAGCAUGGAAUAACACGAUAGGACUCUGGCCUAUCUUGUUGGUCUGUAGGACCGGAGUAAUGAUUAAGAGGGACAGUCGGGGGCAUUCGUAUUUCAUUGUCAGAGGUGAAAUUCUUGGAUUUAUGAAAGACGAACUACUGCGAAAGCAUUUGCCAAGGAUGUUUUCAUUAA
Molecule: ribosomal RNA, 377 nt
Filed under: uncultured eukaryote
Lineage: Eukaryota
Description: partial 18S ribosomal RNA
Rfam family: Eukaryotic small subunit ribosomal RNA
Source: RNAcentral